RNAcentral lists this ribosomal RNA (492 nucleotides) under uncultured bacterium. RNAcentral's name for it is "partial 16S ribosomal RNA". It matches the Rfam family "Bacterial small subunit ribosomal RNA", at positions 29 to 507 of the family's 1533-position model. The record is from RNAcentral.
AGUGAACGCUGGCGGUAGGCCUAACACAUGCAAGUCGAACGGCAGCACAGUAAGAGCUUGCUCUUACGGGUGGCGAGUGGCAGACGGGUGAGGAAUACAUCGGAAUCUACUUUUUCGUGGGGGAUAACGUAGGGAAACUUACGCUAAUACCGCAUACGACCUACGGGUGAAAGCAGGGGAUCUUCGGACCUUGCGCGAUUGAAUGAGCCGAUGUCGGAUUAGCUAGUUGGCGGGGUAAAGGCCCACCAAGGCGACGAUCCGUAGCUGGUCUGAGAGGAUGAUCAGCCACACUGGAACUGAGACACGGUCCAGACUCCUAAGGGAGGCAGCAGUGGGGAAUAUUGGACAAUGGGCGCAAGCCUGAUCCAGCCAUACCGCGUGGGUGAAGAAGGCCUUCGGGUUGUAAAGCCCUUUUGUUGGGAAAGAAAAGCAGCAGGUUAAUACCCCGCUGUUCUGACGGUACCCAAAGAAUAAGCACCGGCUAACUUCGUG